AUUGAACGCUGGCGGCAUGCCUAACACAUGCAAGUCGAACGAGUGGCGGACGGGUGAGGAAGGUCUGGGAAACUGCCUGAUGGAGGGGGAUAACUACUGGUAACGGUAGCUAAUACCGCAUACCAUCAGAUGUGCCCAGAUGGGAUUAGCUAGUUGGUGGGGUAACGGCUCACCAAGGCGACGAUCCCUAGCUGGUCUGAGAGGAUGACCAGCCACCCUGUAACUGAGACACGGUCCAGACUCCUACGGGAGGCAGCAGUGGGGAAGAUUGCACAAUGGGCGCAAGCCUGAUGCAGCCAUUCCGCGUGUAUGAAGAAGGCCUUCGGGUUGUAAAGUACUUUCGGCGGGGAGGCGUUACCUGCAGAAGAAGCACCGGUUAACGCCGGUCAAGCAGCCGCGGUAAUUC
RNAcentral lists this ribosomal RNA (406 nucleotides) under uncultured bacterium. RNAcentral describes it as "partial 16S ribosomal RNA". It matches the Rfam family "Bacterial small subunit ribosomal RNA", at positions 30 to 526 of the family's 1533-position model. The record is from RNAcentral.